Long non-coding RNA from Physella acuta, 514 nucleotides. RefSeq lists it as uncharacterized. NCBI's taxonomy places the organism in Eukaryota, Metazoa, Mollusca, Gastropoda, Physidae. The record is from RefSeq and is a predicted model, not a curated record.
UAUUGAUGACUAAGCUUGUUUACACCAACCAUUAGGAAUCCCCCACGUUUUGAUUAACAUAAAUAUAAAGCGUGUCUGGACAGAAACAUCACAACUUUAUGUCUUAAACCAUUUUCUUGAAAGCAGUAAUUUAACUUUAAAAUCUCAUAAAAAUGAAGACUGUAGUUCUCGUUCUUCUGGUAUGUCUCGCGAGUCUCGUAGCUGUUUCAGAAGGUUGUCAUUGUAGAACGUGGAAUGGUGCAUGCGAAGAUAGUGGCGAUUGCUGCGACCAUUAUGUUUGCGACGUCGAUGUAAUACGAAAUAACGCAUUAUUAUGCAAGCCAGUACCGGGAUCAAAAAAGAAAUGAAUUAAAAGAAUACAUAUCCAGUAUAAAAAGGCAGAUCCAUUACAAAAUAAAAAUUUGUAAUAGACAUUUGUUUUGUUUUUCUAAUUUAUUUGAAUUUAUCAGUGUGCUAAAUUGUUCCGUAUGUGCUAAAUUAAAUUUAACAAACAAAUAUCCGGUCUUCAUUUCAA